RNAcentral lists this ribosomal RNA (652 nucleotides) under uncultured cyanobacterium. RNAcentral describes it as "bacterial SSU rRNA". It matches the Rfam family "Bacterial small subunit ribosomal RNA", at positions 124 to 795 of the family's 1533-position model. The record is from RNAcentral. Lineage: Bacteria; Bacillati; Cyanobacteriota.
GAGUGCCCUUCAAACAUGGAAUAACUACGAGCAAAUUGUAGCUAAUACAGGAUAAUCCUUGUUCUCGGGAGAGAUCAAGGCAAAGGUUUACGCCGAUGAAGGAUUUGCUUGCGUUGUAGUUUUAGUUGGUGAGGUAACGGCUUACCAAGAUAUACUGCAUAGCUGGUCUGAGAGGACAGUCAGCCACACCGGGACCGAGAUACGGCCCGGACUCCUUCGGGAGGCAGCAAUGGGGAAUUUUGGACAAUGGAGGAAACUCUGAUCCAGGGAUAUCGUGUGAGUGAUGAAGACCUUCGGGUUGUAAAGCUCUUUCAGCAGGGAAGAAAUUGACGUUACCUGCAGAAGAAGUGCCGACUAACUUCGUGCCAGCAGUCGCGGUAAUACGGGGGGCGCAAGCGUUGUUCGGAAUUACUGGGCGUAAAGGAUGCGUAGGCUGUUUUGUAAGUUUGUUGUUAAAGCCCAGGGCUCAACCCUGGUUCGCAAUGAAUACUGCAAGACUAGAGAUCGGGAGAGGUAAAUGGAAUGUAUAAUUUAGAGGUUAAAUUCGUCGAUAUUAUAAGGAACACCAGAAGCGAAGGCGAUUUACUGGAACGAUUCUGACGCUGAGGCAUGAAAGCGUGGGUAGCGAAUGGGAUUAGAUACCCCUGUAGUC